This 637-nucleotide long non-coding RNA is filed under the name Marmota monax (woodchuck). The record is from RNAcentral. Lineage: Eukaryota; Metazoa; Chordata; Mammalia; Rodentia; Sciuridae.
GAGUAGACUCCCCCCCACCAAAAAAAGCAGGAAAAACUGUAAAUGAUUACUGCGUGCGUAAUUUAGUGAACUCUACCUGUAAUGGAUGCCAGACAACUUUGAUGGGAAAUGAAAGCAUGAUCCAGAAGUGCACACAGCAAAGAACUUUUCAAGGAAUUGAAACAGCUGGAUGAAAAUACAAAAAGACUAUGGAUUGCUCCUGAGCAUCUAAGUUUUUGUUGUUGUUGUUUGUUUCUGUGAUACUGGGGAUUAAACCCAGGGACUCACAUAUGGCAGGCAAGAACUCUACCACUGAGCUAAAUCCUCAGCACCAAUUUUUUUUUUUUUUGAAUAUUUGGAAUUGAACUCCAGAGCACUUUACCACUGAACUACAUCCUAGCCCUUAUGUUGAUUUUUGUAAGAAUUUGAAAUCUUUUAUAGAUAUUUUAUCCAUUUUUCUGAUACAUGUUUAAUUUUUCUUGGUGGAUAUCUAAGCAGAUUAUGACAUACCAUCUUUAUCUAUUAAAACUGGAAACAUGAAUACAUUUUCUUAAUCAAACCCAAAUUGCAUCAAUUCUUUUCAUCCAAGUCCCCAAUGGUGGGUUUAUCUCUGAAGUGGACCACCUUUUUUUCCAGUCUUAAUUGAGUUAAAAUUGCC